GCGUUAGUCACACCAUGACAUAAGAUUUACGCUGUAAAAACAUGUCCAGAGAUUCUCCCUGUGUAAACAUUCCACUGAAGUUUACAUAGCUUCAUGCUCGAUUGCUCUUCCUGGCUACUUCAUCAUGUGGCUGUCUCCUUGUUCGCAGGGAAUUGCCAAUGUCCGAGCCUUGAGCUGAUGCUGAGCCCGGCGACAAUCACCGAGGUCUCUCGUGUCGUCUACCACGGGUUCGCUUUCGUCCCGGUGCCCACCUCGGCCGCCGCGACAUUGCACCUGGCGCUGGGCUCGCAGGUGAUUCCGGGAACACCUCAACGUGUCGCCUUCAUCAAUGGGGCACCUGUCACCUUGUCCUUCCAGAAUGUGGACAGUCAGUAGAGGUGGGUCGGGGAGUGAGUGCCAACUUUUUAAAUUAUUUUUUUCAGUUACUGCAAUGCACGUUUUAAAACAGCGUAAGCAUUCAAGUAUUUUUAUUUCAUUUAGCAGAUUAUUUAUUCAUGUGUUAACAGUCAGCAUACGGAGCUUAGUUGUGUCAGUUCUCAGAACCGUUUAAUGCACCGCGUGUUAUUUUAUUUUGCUUCUCAGAAUUGUAUGCGUGUCCUACCUGGGUCAGUUCACCUCAGAGGCAGGGAUUGAACUGCAGUCAGAUGUGUGGAGCUCCCCUGUCUCCCCUCCCUCCCCAGGGCCUGAGGGUGCCCCUGCCCCCUGUCUGCUACUGGAGGAGGACCAGGAACCACUGGAGUCUCAUACACAGAUUGAGCCAAAGGUGGAGAGAAAGCAAUAACACUCGUCUCCAUUCACACAGAAACGUAAAGGUGGAUGGCCAAAGGGAAAGAAGAGGCAACCUCCGAGAGAGUUAACUGCCCCCAGAGUUCCAACAACAGGGUGAGAGAUGCACACACACACACAUCCACACAUAAACACACUUGUUUAUUGGGAGAGGAGAUGUUACUCUCAUUGCGAAGAGCUCUAUUGUGUGUGUGUGUGUGUGUGUGUGUGUGUGUGUGUGUGUGUGUAAUGCCCGUGUAGGGUGUUACAUAGUGUCUAGACUCUAGGGUGUAGUAGUUAUGUAAUUAGAUGUGCUCUAAGAUGAUUGCUGUUGGUGGUUGUUGUCAGGAGGACUCUUGGGAGGCCCUCACAGGUCUGUAUGUGUGUACGUGUCUGCGUGUGUGUGCGUAUGUUCCUGUGUGUGUGUGCAUGCGAAGGGGUGGUACAUAUGCAAUAUCGUUCUCUGCAAGUGUUUUUUUGUUUUGUAAGCUGUUGCAAUAGCAGUGUUUCACCAGUAAGUGGCUGUAUAGGGCUCAAGUCAGUUGUGUUCUCUUUUCAAAGUGCUGUUGAGAAUGCUUACUGUGUUCUAUGUUUUUUUGAAAGCUUUGUGUGUGUUUCUGCUCAGAGGAGUUUGAGAAGGACAGAGGCAGCCGGCAGCAGGCUCCAGGGAUGGAGAGAAGCCCUGUGGGUGAGGAAGAGGAGGCAGAGAUGGCUCGUACGUUGGGUCUGUCCUCGCUGGACAUCAGUGUGCUGCAGGAGCUGCUGCUCAGACACAUACUGACCAGCACUGACCACUAUUUGCCAUGACCACAUUCAUGACUUGGACAAAGCCAAUUUCUAAAAUAUAUAAUAGCUAACCUCCCCGUCCCGUCUGCCUGGAUCCGUUUUCCCCAGAGCUGAAGAGCCGAAUCACGUUCUGCGCAUGUUUCCUUACCUAAAUGUAGAUAUUCUUGAGUUAUACAGUGUUGUUUUGAAUUAUGGACAGUGAGCGAACUUUAGAGCAGUUGGUGGAAACAAUCUGUCGCAUAGUCUACCUGUGAGUUUUUGCCAAAAAUGUGACCAUUUGCACAAACAUCCUAACGUUCUUAAGAAAUGUGAUUGUUUUCUGUCUUACAGUAACCUUAUAAUAUGCUAUUAUGUUUGGUUAUGUUACAUGGAAUCAAUAAGUGAUCUUGCAGACAUUGAUUCAGCUUUGAUAUAACUUUAUUAAACAAAUACCGUUUAUUUCAGACUAGCCUGAUCUCUACAAGACUGUGCGACAAGUAGAGAAUCCCGCACAUGCACAGAAGUCGUGAAGAGGGCUCGACAAAACCUAUUCCCCCUCAGGAGACUAAAAAGAUUUGGCAUGGGUCCUCAGAUCCUCAAAAGGUUCUACAGCUUCACCAUCGAGAGCAUCACUGCCUAGUAUGGCAACUGUUCGGCCUCCGACCGCAAGGCACUACAGAGGGUAGUGCGUACGGCCCAUUACAUCACUGGGGCAAAGCUUCCUGCCAUCCAGGACUUAUAUACCAGGCGGUGUUAGAGGAAGGCCCUCAACAAUUGUCAAAGACUCCAGCCACCCUAGAGUAGUCUGUUCUCUCUGCUACAGCACAGCAAGCGGUACCGGAGCAUCAAGUCUAGGUACAAGAGGCUUCUAAACAGCUUCUACUACCAAGCCAUAAGACUCCUGAACAUCUAAUCAAAUGGUUACCCAGACUAUUUGCAUUGCCCCCCCCCUUUUACACCGCUGCUACUCUCUGUUGUUAUCAUCUAUGCAUAGUCACUUUACCUACAUGUACAUAUUACCUCAAUUACCUCGAUUAACCGGUGCCCCUGCACAUUGACUCUGUACCGGUACCCAUCUGUAUAUAGUCUUGCUUUUGUUAUUUUACGGCUGCUCUUUAAUUACUUGUUACUUUUAUUUCUUAUUCUUAUUUUUUAUUAUUAUAUAUAUAUUUUUUAACUGCAUUGUUGGUUAGGAGCUUGUAAGUAAGCAUUUCACUGUAAGGUCUACCUACACCCGUUGUAUUCGGCUGAUGUGACGAAUACAAUUUGAUUUGAAGCUUCAGGAACUUUAGUGUUGGAAAGAGGGGUCCAGGAAAGUUGUAUCUGCAGCCACUCCGUUCUAACAACCACACUGAAACGCUGUCUUUAGUUCUACACCUCUCUCUCAACCAACAGUGAAUUAAAGUGUUACUGUGUACUGUC
Long non-coding RNA from Oncorhynchus nerka (sockeye salmon), 2952 nucleotides. RefSeq lists it as uncharacterized. The record is from RefSeq and is a predicted model, not a curated record. The transcript has 3 exons. Lineage: Eukaryota; Metazoa; Chordata; Actinopteri; Salmoniformes; Salmonidae.